GUAUAGUGGUAGGUUGCAUAAGGUAUUAUGGAUGCAUGAACCUUAUUAUGUUUGAUGUUUAUUACCUACCGUUGAGAUGUGUAUGUUAAAACAUUGAGGAAUAGGGUAAAUGGAAUAUGCAUGUUGAUAAUCAUGGAACAUGUUGGAUGGCAUAUGAAUGUUAACAUUAUGAAAAGAUGUUAGUUGGUAUAUGUAUAUAGAUAUAUUGUGGAAUAUGAUAUAUGGAAUAUACAUGUUGACAUUGUGGAAUAUGCUAGAUGAAAUAAUGCAUGUUCGCAAGUUGUAAAAUGU
RNAcentral lists this long non-coding RNA (291 nucleotides) under Ananas comosus (pineapple). RNAcentral's name for it is "long non-coding RNA (ACOM_LNC024325)". Lineage: Eukaryota; Viridiplantae; Streptophyta; Magnoliopsida; Poales; Bromeliaceae. The record is from RNAcentral.